This 489-nucleotide ribosomal RNA is filed under the name uncultured bacterium. RNAcentral describes it as "bacterial SSU rRNA". It matches the Rfam family "Bacterial small subunit ribosomal RNA", at positions 9 to 475 of the family's 1533-position model. The record is from RNAcentral.
GAGUUUGAUCAUGGCUCAGAAUCAACGCUGGCGGCGUGCCUCAGACAUGCAAGUCGAACGCGAAAGGUUCCUUCGGGAACCGAGUAGAGUGGCGCACGGGUGAGUAACACGUAGGUAAUUUGCCUUUGGGUGGGGAAUAACUCAGGGAAACUUGAGCUAAUACCGCAUAAUGCAGCGGCUCGACAUCGAGACAGUUGUUAAAGCGGGGGAUCGCAAGACCUCGCGCCUAAAGAGAAGCCUGCGGCAGAUUAGACUAGUUGGUAGGGUAAUGGCCUACCAAGGCAACGGAUCUGUAACCGGCCUGAGAGGGCGGUCGGUCACACUGACACUGACAUACGGGUCAGACUCCUACGGGAGGCAGCAGUCGGAAUUUUGGGCAAUGGGCGAAAGCCUGACCCAGCAACGCCGCGUGAAGGAUCGAAAUCCCUCGGGAUGUAAACUUCGCGAAGAACAGGAAGAAUAAGUAGAAGCUAAUACCUUCUAUGAUGA